This 3688-nucleotide long non-coding RNA is filed under the name Homo sapiens (human). RNAcentral's name for it is "mir-99a-let-7c cluster host gene". Lineage: Eukaryota; Metazoa; Chordata; Mammalia; Primates; Hominidae. The record is from RNAcentral.
CUUCCCAGGCAGCUUCUGCUAGUGUUUAGGUACUAGUGCAGUGUAGAACCCUUUUCUCAGGCAAAACCUAACAUCUGACCGCACCCUUUUUGCUAUUAAAAAAAAAAAAAAGCUUCUAUUUUUUUCCUCCUGUCGUUAAGAUAAAUUCUCCAGUAGACAACCUCUCCCACUAAUUGUGUAUUAGCAACGUAUUUUAUCUUGAGAGCUUGUACACUGGGCUCUCAACGUGGUGUGGAAGGUAGCCUGUUACAGUGCUGGAUUCAUAAAAGGGCCUUUAUGGUUUGUGAAAGAAUAUCUGUGUGCUUAGGGAGGAAACUUUUUGAUCUGCAGAAAAGCCAGAAGACAUCUAGGUAAGGCUACGAUAUCAAAUCUACUUUUUUGGGGGAAAGUUGGGCAGUGAGACUGCUUAAUCGCAACCAAUGUGAGUUUAGAGGGUGCAUGUUCACUUUUGUAGAAGUUCAAAAUGUACUGACGAUUGUUUGCUUAUUUUUUGUUUGUUUGUUUAAAUCUUAAAGGAAUACUGUCGUCUGCGUUUUUACGAUUUUGUUUUCUUCUAUUGAACCCAUUACAGUGGAUAUAGAGUUUUAUUAUAUAGCGAAAUCUUUGUAAACUGCCACAGAAAGAAAGUGUUAUUUAGAAGGGAAAUUGACAAGUUUUAAAGAGUAAUUGUACAAUCAUUUGAGGACAGAGGAACACUGCAUUAUACUAAUAAGGGUUUAAUUACCAAAAAAAGUUUAAUGUUGCUUUGGAAGGAAUAUUAAGUAAGUUGUCUUUGUCUCUUACUUUUUAAUUUUAGUCGCUGAUUUAGCCUGUUGGGUCACAUUUUUUGUUAGUGCUGAAGGCUGCCAUGAAUCCGUAAUGAGGCCCCUUUGCACAUGAUUUUGGCACUUGGCCAAAAUCAACUUCCCAGCGGCAAGCUUUCUCUAAAGAACCUGGAGCAAUUUCUUUCUUUUUUUUUUUUUUUUUAAAUCAGGAAUCAUGUCUGAAAGCUGCCACAACCAGUUGUAUAGGCAUGUCAAAAUGACUUUAUACAGUCAAUAUGAAACAAGCAUUAAAUAUUUUUUCUCAUGUUGUUGCUUUUAUCAUUAUGAAUUCCUUGCUUGUUGCCACCUAAGAUACGAUGGAGCAAGCACAGUCUUAAAGAAGAUUUGCUGAUUUUUUGUUUUUCUCAGCAGACCAGAGUAGGUAUGAUCAUCUUAUUGAGAAGUAUACAGUGCAAAAAAGGUUUUUCAAAACACUACAGGAUAAAUAACAAAUGAAUUCUUAAAACUGUUAAUCUCUGUAAGUAAUACUCAGUGAACAGUAAGUAAUGGAGUUUUCUAGAAGUUUCAUCGUGCGCGCAAUUAAGCUUAACAUUUUUAUAGUGUUUUUGUCUAUGUUAAAAGGUAGCAUUUGGGAUUUUUAAAAAUGUCAGCAUUUGCUAUAUAAUUUUAAAAACGUAUUAACACCUUGAUAUUAUUUCUAACAAAUGUUUUAAUAGAAAUGCUUGGUAUAUAAACAUGGCUGAAUAACUUUUAAGUAAUUGUGUUUAAUUGCUGUUUUGCAAUAAAAGGAUAAUUUUUCAUGAAAUAAAUUUUGAAGCUCAAAGGUACUUAACAUCCAAUUUCUGGAACUGUUAUUAAUUUUGAUAUUACUAUAACUGAAUUUUGUUCUGUAAGCCAAUUUUAUACUCUAGUGUUUUAAGAGUUAAAUUCACGAGUGGCAAUGAAAUACUAUAGCAAUCAAAUAUUAACACCUCAAAUUUUCUAUAGCCAUUUUCAAUAAUAUCUUUAGACAUUAAACAUAGGUACUCUACAGAAUAAUUAGAAGUAGAAAAGUGUAAUAUCAGUUGCUCUAUUUUGUUUUUUUAAAAGAAAUUUUAUUAUCACUAUCGUAAAUACUAUUAUGCCUUGUGUGUUAAUCUGUAGUAAUCCAGAGUGCAACUUUAUUUUACUAGAAACAGUCAUAUUUCUCUUUAAAAUAUUGAUGAGAAUCAGAUACAUUAUUUUUUAAGAGUGACCUAAUUAAGAGAUUUCUUAAUAGGCAUGUUUAUUCUGUAUUUGUCUUCCCUUUACAGUAUAGAAUAUUGCAAAUUUUGGUGAUAGAAAAAAUCAUAUUAAUUUUAGGUAAAUUUUAGGAUUAGAAAUUGCCUCCUGAUUUCCUUCAGGUCAUUUUUUGUAAAUAUACAAUUUAUAUUUGUUUUGCUGUGGACCAAAUUAUGAUACUGUAAAAACCUUGCUAUUAGUUUAACCGAGGAAUGGAGUGUUUGGAAUUUUCAUACUAGUCAACAUUAAAAGCCAUAGAAGUUAUAAAUUGUUAUUAAUAGAAAUUUACCUAGAUAAGGUCUCUUUGUAUGUGAGUUUACAGCUGAAUUCUUAUUUAAUGUAAUCUUUGUAAUUUAUAUAAAAGCAGUUAAUAAAGGUAAAUAUUUCAAAACUUGGAUUAAAAACCAAACAUUUUCACAUUUAUUAUCAUGAAACAGGUGCAGGAAAAAUAAGAUAGCUUCUCUUGUUGAGCAUGAUUCUCACUUAAAAAUUAAUUUUGAAUUCAAUUUUAAUUUUAAUUUUAGCUCUUACACACAUCUUCUGUUUUUAUUUUUUGAUUAUUUUGAAUCAGUUGUUGUACUUAGCAUUUGAAAUUGAUAGAUUAUUUUUCUAAUAUUUACUAAGAAAUGUUUUAACUGAAAAUUAUAGGGUAUUCUUUGUUAAUCAGAGCCCAUAGCAAAGUAAAUGCCAUCAAAUAUAGAACUUUUGGAGUACACAGAAGUGUUAGUUUGCGAGUUCAGAAGAAACUUACUUGUACACGAUUACUGACAAAUGUUUUUUAGUUGAGGUAGAAACAAGUAAGUAUUAAGGACAAUUUAAAUUAUCUUCCUUACUGAAAUAGCUAAAAAAAUUGCUUUCUUUUGCUAUGGCAAUGCGUUGUAAUUAUUUCCAUAAUCUAGGCUUUUUAGCAGAAUUAUUAGCUAGUUUUCCUUAGGACCAAAAAUGCAAAACACUGAUUACAUUUCCUUCAUUGAGUUAACAUUUUAAAAAUACUAUAUGGAAAUGUAAUUACUUUUAAAAAGAAAAAUAUUUUAAUAUUUUUGUUGAAUUUCUUCAAUUUAUAAAGAAUAGCUCGAACAAGUUUUUCGUUCAUCUUUUCCCCCAUACUUAUAUUGGAAAUAUUAAAAUCUAUGAAAUUUUACAAUGUGGAAUCUCUUUUACUCUUCAGAAAAAGUUAAAUUCAUUUAUAGUUGUCAAUUCAAAUUAUGGACUUUUACCAUUUUAAAUGUGACAGGGUUUUUUGUUUGUUUAUUUUAAUUAUGCAACAGGCACUUAAAAUACUUUCUUUCCCUCCAAUUAAAAGAGACAUUAAAUAAUUAAACAUCAACUUUUAUUCUGUAUUGAAAAGAAAGCUUUACCAUUGCAGUAUUUUAUCCACAAUUGUUUAAAUGUGAGAAAUGUUUACAACAGGGUAUUUUAGGUGAGCAUUUAUCAUUUAAAUGAAGUGCUUUGUUCUGAGGAGUCUAAAAUUCAGCAAUAAGAUAAAUGCAUUGCUACAUUAGAUUGAACAUCAUUGUUGAAUUUUUGGCACAACUUCAGUGACCUCGGCCAUAAAAACUAGUAUAGUCAGGAUGAUUUGGAAUUUGCAGUAACAAAACUAGAUAUAGAAGCACGUGAAGACACCAACCUUUGUUGUUUUGGAGAAAGUAUGCACUAAAAUAAAA